AGCAGCCGCGGUAAUUCCAGCUCCAAUAGCGUAUAUUAAAGUUGUUGCAGUUAAAAAGCUCGUAGUUGAAUUUCGGGGUUAGUAGGCUGGUCAUGCCUCCGGUAUGUACUGGUCUUACUGAUUCCUCCUUUCUGAAGAACUGUAAUGCCAUUAAUUUGGUGUUGCAGGGAAUCAGGACUGUUACUUUGAAAAAUUAGAGUGUUUAAAGCAGGCUAACGCUUGAAUACAUUAGCAUGGAAUAAUGAAAUAGGACGUUCGAUCCUAUUUUGUUGGUUUCUAGGAUUGACGUAAUGAUUAAUAGGGAUAGUUGGGGGCAUUAGUAUUCAAUUGUCAGAGGUGAAAUUCUUGGAUUUAUUGAAGACUAACUACUGCGAAAGCAUUUGCCAAGGAUGUUUUCAUUAAUCAAGAACGAAAGUUAGGGGAUCGAAGACGAUCAGAUACCGUCGUAGU
This 450-nucleotide ribosomal RNA is filed under the name uncultured Glomus. Its description in RNAcentral is "SSU rRNA". It matches the Rfam family "Eukaryotic small subunit ribosomal RNA", at positions 569 to 1024 of the family's 1831-position model. Lineage: Eukaryota; Fungi; Glomeromycota; Glomeromycetes; Glomerales; Glomeraceae. The record is from RNAcentral.